Molecule: small RNA, 78 nt
Filed under: Flavobacterium sp. KMS
Lineage: Bacteria; Pseudomonadati; Bacteroidota; Flavobacteriia; Flavobacteriales; Flavobacteriaceae
Description: Flavo-1 RNA
Rfam family: Flavo-1 RNA
Source: Rfam by way of RNAcentral
CUCUAGCCCUGAUGGAAGCGGCAUCCUUUUUAUUUUUUCUUUAAAAAUAAAAAGAUAUAGCGGACAGCAGGAAUAGCU